RNAcentral lists this ribosomal RNA (468 nucleotides) under uncultured bacterium. RNAcentral's name for it is "partial 16S ribosomal RNA". It matches the Rfam family "Bacterial small subunit ribosomal RNA", at positions 28 to 507 of the family's 1533-position model. The record is from RNAcentral.
GACGAACGCUGGCGGCGUGCUUAACACAUGCAAGUCGAACGGAAAGGCCCUGCUUUUGUGGGGUGCUCGAGUGGCGAACGGGUGAGUAACACGUGAGUAACCUGCCCUUGACUUUGGGAUAACUUCAGGAAACUGGGGCUAAUACCGGAUAGGAGCUCCUGCUGCAUGGUGGGGGUUGGAAAGUUUUGGCGGUUGGGGAUGGACUCGCGGCUUAUCAGCUUGUUGGUGGGGUAGUGGCUUACCAAGGCUUUGACGGGUAGCCGGCCUGAGAGGGUGACCGGCCACAUUGGGACUGAGAUACGGCCCAGACUCCUACGGGAGGCAGCAGUGGGGAAUAUUGCACAAUGGGCGGAAGCCUGAUGCAGCAACGCCGCGUGCGGGAUGACGGCAUUCGGGUUGUAAACCGCUUUCGCCUGUGACGAAGCGUGAGUGACGGUAAUGGGUAAAGAAGCACCGGCUAACUACGUG